AUGCAGAAAAAUUAUAAGAAUAUAUUGCUUGAGAAAUUAAAUAGGGUGCUUGCAGUUCAUCAUAAUCAUUCUAGAUUAGGGGGCUUAGGCCUCUCGUAAAGCUUGGUCUGAAUUCUAGAGUCUAUAACCUCUAUGUUACAUAUGACCACAACACGGUCCAAUUGUUGUUCCCUUUUUGAUAUACGAUAUUCUUUCUAAUUGGUGCUACUUUUUAUAAUCACUUGGUCACUUCUACUUAUCUGUCAAAACCCACAAUCCAAAGGAGUAAUUAUACAGCGCGCAACAGUUUUUCCAUGUAGGAUAUCCUACAGAAUGACAACCUAAUAGUGGAUGGACAUGUAUGUAUAAGUGGGUCUACAUGUACACAUGGGUGGGUUCCAAAAAUUUAUAACUACCUUGCAGUUUAGUUUUUUUUUUUAAAAAAAUAAUAAUUACAUUUGCAUAUAUAUGUAACUGCUAUUGGGUUGCCAUUUUAUGUCAAAUGCUAACAUAGAAUAACCGCUUUAUUAUAUAAUUUCUCCAUUUCAAGACUUACUAGGCCUCAUUAUUUCCAUUUAUUUAUUUUAGUCCUUAAAAUAUUCAUGGGCAAUUUGUAGGGCCAGCUUGUCGGAGUUUAUA
Molecule: unclassified non-coding RNA, 618 nt
Filed under: Hevea brasiliensis (rubber tree)
Lineage: Eukaryota; Viridiplantae; Streptophyta; Magnoliopsida; Malpighiales; Euphorbiaceae
Source: RNAcentral